GAUGUUACGUUCUGUAAAAUGUUAUUGUAUUUUUUAAAUAAAAGUAAAAUAAAUGUCAAUUUCAAAUACAUUCGCAGAAGAAGAAGGCUCGGAGGCGCCUUUACAGAACCCAGACGAACAGGAUAAUGUUGAAACUGAGACCAAAGUAUACGAUCCACCGAAGAGUCCAGAACCUCCGAAUCACUUCGUCGACGACAUUUAAUUUAUAAAUAAACUUAUAAAAUAAAA
This is a long non-coding RNA of Melitaea cinxia (Glanville fritillary), 228 nucleotides long. RefSeq lists it as uncharacterized. The record is from RefSeq and is a predicted model, not a curated record. The transcript has 2 exons. Lineage: Eukaryota; Metazoa; Arthropoda; Insecta; Lepidoptera; Nymphalidae.